GAGAAGUCGAUGACGGAGAGUAGUAAAAGGAAUUUGCUUUUCAGAGAGCUGCCGGGGGGUGCAAGGCAGUAAGAAAUUUCUUUGAACUCGCUCCUGAGUUGUAUAGGUGAAAACAGUAGCCUAUACCGGAACAGGCCGUUAUCCUGCCGAGUGGGGAAACUGCUGUUUCCCAAUUAGGGUGGUACCACGGAAGUUAACCUUUCGUCCCUUGC
This 212-nucleotide non-coding RNA is filed under the name Thermincola sp. Its description in RNAcentral is "T-box sequence". It matches the Rfam family "T-box leader". From Rfam's summary of the family: Uncharged tRNA acts as the effector for transcription antitermination of genes in the T-box leader family. T-boxes are found upstream of many aminoacyl-tRNA synthetase genes and some amino acid biosynthetic genes usually in Gram-positive bacteria. The anticodon of a specific tRNA base pairs to a specifier sequence within the T-box motif, and the NCCA acceptor tail of the tRNA base pairs to a conserved bulge in the T-box antiterminator hairpin. The record is from RNAcentral. Lineage: Bacteria; Bacillati; Bacillota; Clostridia; Eubacteriales; Thermincolaceae.